UUGAACGCUGGCGGCAUGCUUUACACAUGCAAGUCGAACGGUAACAGGGAGCUUGCUCCGCUGACGAGUGGCGAACGGGUGAGUAAUGCAUCGGAACGUACCCAGUCGUGGGGGAUAACGUAGCGAAAGUUACGCUAAUACCGCAUACGCCCGAGAGGGGAAAGUGGGGGACCGCAAGGCCUCACGCGAUUGGGUUGGCCGAUGUCCGAUUAGCUUGUUGGUGAGGUAAAGGCUUACCAAGGCGAUGAUCGGUAGCUGGUCUGAGAGGAUGAUCAGCCACACUGGGACUGAGACACGGCCCAGACUCCUACGGGAGGCAGCAGUGGGGAAUUUUGGACAAUGGGGGCAACCCUGAUCCAGCCAUUCCGCGUGAGUGAAGAAGGCCUUCGGGUUGUAAAGCUCUUUUGUCCGGAGCGAAACGGUUACGGUGAAUAUCCGUGACUACUGACGGUACCGGAAGAAUAAGCACCGGCUAACUACGU
This 482-nucleotide ribosomal RNA is filed under the name uncultured bacterium. Its description in RNAcentral is "bacterial SSU rRNA". It matches the Rfam family "Bacterial small subunit ribosomal RNA", at positions 30 to 506 of the family's 1533-position model. The record is from RNAcentral.